GACGAAGGGGGCUAGCGUUGUUCGGAAUUACUGGGCGUAAAGCGAGUGUAGGUGGUUGUCCAAGUUGGAUGUGAAAGCCUUGAGCUCAACUCAAGAAAUGCAUUCAGGACUGGGCGGCUAGAGGACCGGAGAGGAUAGUGGAAUUCCCAGUGUAGUGGUGAAAUACGUAGAGAUUGGGAAGAACACCAGUGGCGAAGGCGGCUAUCUGGACGGUUUCUGACACUAAGACGCGAAAGCGUGGGGAGCAAACAGG
This 253-nucleotide ribosomal RNA is filed under the name uncultured bacterium. RNAcentral describes it as "partial 16S ribosomal RNA". It matches the Rfam family "Bacterial small subunit ribosomal RNA", at positions 524 to 776 of the family's 1533-position model. The record is from RNAcentral.